GUUUGUGUUGGUAAAGUCAACGAACUCAUCUUUUUCCAAGACAUCAAACUCAUCUUCUUCCUUGAGAGAUAACAUAGAAAUUAGGGUUCCAUCAUCCCCCCUCAAGUUGGCGUCCGAUGAUCGGAUACCUAACUUGCCCAAAAAAUGAUGAUGCAAAGGCCCAGCCAAGGCUUUGGUGAAUAAAUCUGCUAGUUGGGAGGUUGAAGGAACAAAGAACAGAGAAAUGAGUCUAUCGAGAAGUUUUUCACGAAUGAAAUGGCAAUCAAGUUUGAUGUGCUUGGUUCAUUCGUGAAAAACUGGAUUUUUUGCAAUGUGAAUGACGGAUUGGUUGUCACAAUGCAAAGAAACCAGAAGAGAAGGGGAUAUAUACUCUAAGGUCAAAGAAAAGAAAAAUAAUCCAUGAUAUCUCUGCGACAAGACUCCUUAUUGAAACAACGGGAUGUUUCUUGGAUUUCCAAGAUAUCGGUGAACCACCAAGAAGUAUGUAAAAGCCACUCGCGGAAUGGCGAGUAGAAUAGCAAGAGGCCCAAUCGGCGUUGCGAUAUCCAAGAAUUUGAAGAGACGGUGAAGAAUUCAUGAAAAGACCCAAACUUGGGUCACGUCUCAAAUACCGGAGAGCGUGAAAAGCUGCUUGAAGAUGUACAGAUCUUGGGGAGUGCAUAUAUUGACUGAGUGUUUGAACGGCAUAAGAGAGGUUCGGUCGUGUGUGUGUCAAAAAAUUGAGUUGUCCUAAGAGUCUCCGAUAGAUGGUAGGAUUAGAUAAUAACUCACCUGAGUCCAUGGUGAGCUUAAGAGUCAGGUCCAUGGGAGUCGAAGCCGAAUGGGUAGAAAGAUCUGGGUGUUCCAACAAAAGAUCCUUGGAAAAUUUACGUUGCGUUACAAUCAAACCCUUUGGUAAAGGUUGUUGACAUAGAUAGGUAAGACUGUAACAAGACUGCCACAGGACUUGUAAAACAACGAGUAAUCAUUCAAAGAUGAAACGAAUCCAUGAGUCCCUAGAGCUACAGAUAAUCUGGCGUACCACUAGCGUAAAGCUUGUUUGAGCCAGUAAAGGGACUUUCUCAAAUGGCAAACAUGAGAGGGAGAAGGUGAUGUCAAUCGCGGAGGAAAUUUCAUGAAGACCUCCUCGUCCAAAUCACCAUGUAAGAAGCCGUUAUCUACAUCCAGUUGAAACAAAGGCCAACUGUUCUUGACUGCAAUAGCAAGAAUGGAUCUAAUGGUAGUCAUCUUCACGACUGGGCAGAGGCAAAGAAACUACCUCCUAAGUGGAGUUGGAGAUGAAGGCCUGGAGUUCAUUUUCCAUGGCAAGAACCCAACCAGGAUCAAUUACUGCCUUCAGGCAAGAAACUGGCUCUCUAAUCUUGUCAAUAGAUGAUAUUUAAAUAUUGAUUGUUAAUACUUAGAAAGAAUGAAAAAAAGAAUGAAGAGACAAAGUAGGAGUGUUAGAAGAAAUCACAAAAAAAUUAGUUUCAUAAAUAAAAUCAGACAAAUAUGAAGAAAAAACGAUUUCCUAGUGGUCCUGCGCAGGCCCUGCACUGUAGAUGACACAUCCAUAGGAUUAGUGGAGAGAUUAGGUGGAGAAGAAGAUGGUGAAGUGGUAGGUUGAGUGCUAGGUUUAGAACUAGCAAAUGCAGGAUUGAUGGUGGAUGAAGGUGGAGAUGGAGUGUUGUUAGUGGAUGGAGAGGAGAGUGAAGAUUCUUGUGUUUUAGAUUGGGUUAAAUCCUCAAAAGAGAGGGGUUUAGUUGAUUUGAAAGACCCUGGAAAUAAUUUAGACAUACGAACUGAGUGUGCAAAAGGGAAUAAAGACUCAUAAAACUUGACAUUUCUGCUUAUAAUGACCUGUUUAUUUAGUAGAUUUAGCACCUUGUAACCCUUUUUUCCAAAAGGGUAACCUAAAAAAAUUCCAGGAAUUGCCCUAGGUGAAAGUUUAUCUCUGUUGUGAGGCAACGUGGAAACAAAACAUAAGCAACCAAAAGUUUUAAGAUGAGCGUAAGAGGGAGGUUUUUGAAAAAGUUUAUCAUAAGAUGAACUGUGUUGAAGAACUUUGGAAGGAAAAAGACUAAUGAUAUGAGUUGCUGUCAACAAUGCUCCCCCCUCCCCCUCCCAGUAUCUAGGUUGUAAAUGAGACUGAUACAUAAGAGCUCUACACACCUCUAAUAAAUGUUUGUGUUUUCUUUCAGCUGCCCCAUUUUGUUGAGGGGUAGCAAUAUAGGAUGUUUGAUGCAUAAUUCCUUGGGAAGAAAAAAAUUCAGUUGUAAGAUUCCCAGACUCUAGUUCAUAGGCAUUAAUUGACCUUAUCACUUUCACUUUCUCACUUUCUUGGAAAAUUAUCUCUCAGUAUAAGCUAAGAAAGAUUUCAAAAUGGGGAAGGCAUUGGAUUUAGUGGAUAAAAGAUAAGUCCAAGUUGUUCUAGAGAAAUCAUACACAAUAGUUAGGAAAUAUUUUUCGCCUUUAUAUGUUUGAGUCUUGUAGGGUCCCCAAAUGUCUAUAUGGUCCCCAAGUGUCUAUAUGUAUCAUUUCAAAAUACUCAUGUAUAGAAAUGUUACUUUUGGAAAAUGAUAAUUUAGAUUGUCUGGCCAUGGGGCAAAUAUCACAAGGAAACUGCGAUGUCUUAGAAUGAGAGACUGAAAUUCCGGUAAUUUUCUUCAUACUAUCAUAAGGUAAAUGUCCCAAUCUAUAGCCAAAGCUUGAAGGAAUCAAAAUUUUCAGAAACUGUGCUCAUUUCAUUAAUAGGAAAUUCAGUACAAACAUCAGGACUGCUCAUAGACACUGGUAAAGAAGACAAUGAGUCCACAUUAGACACAACUGGAUUCUUAAGAGAAAAUAAACGAGAUUAAUAACUAAAGAUUGACUAGGCUUUGUUUUAAUAGGCCUGGAUGUGGAUAUGUCAUUGUUCAGCAGAUACAGAUUUCCAACAUCUUCACCAAAAAUCUGCUUCUUCAACAUUGAAUGGUCCUGUAUAUGAAACAACCAUUUUUUUGUAAUAAGAACUCCUAGAUCAGUUUUAUCAACAAAUUAGCUGACUGAAACAAAAUUUCAUUUGAAAGAAGGAACAUAGUAGACAUUUAGUAAGACAAUACGAGAGGUUAGAACCACAUCACCCAUAUUCCUAAUAGUGACCUUAAAAGAGUUAGGCAAAGUGACAGAAACAGGGUUAGGAAGUAAUUUGAAAUUGUGAAACAAAGAUUUGUCAAAAGUCAUAUGAUGAGAGGCCCUUAAAUCUAUUAUCCAGGGGGUUAGAUUUAAAAAUUGAAAUACAAGAUGUGCGAUCUUUUAAAAUGUUAGAGAUACUAGCCAUGUUUGCACUGUGUUGUUCUUCUGUUCCAGUCCUAGAUUUGAGUGCUUGAAACAUUUCAAUCAAUUGUUGGCACUGGCACGUUGUAAAAGCUUCAAUGUUGAAAAUGGAAGACUUGUUGUUUCUAACAAUCCUAUUUGCUGGAAAAGUGUUCAUCAUGCUAGAUUCCUCAUCAUUUCCUAAAAUAGCACCAUUACCCAUACUUUCUCCUGUAUUUGCAACAUUAGCUCUUGCAUUGUUAAAAGGCUUCUUAGAUUUGUUUAUGAAUUUAAAAUUUGGUGGAAAACCUAUUAACCUAUAUCAUAUUUGCCUAGUUAGUAUGUUUGUCCUCUUACAAAAAGUGCAAUACAAAUUGUUAAUUUGGUGGUUCAUAAUUCUGAACAUUUCUGGGAGUGAAGCUUUGUGUGUUUCCUUUGUUUGCAGCAAAAUUCCUUUGCUCAUUCCACUUUAUUGCAUUAAAAGCUGAAGAUUAUGUUGUCACUAAGUUCCCAAAAUGUAUCUCCUUUUGUGAUUCCUCAUGGAGGAUGAUUGAAUAAGCCUUGAUUAGUAGAGGGUAGUGGUUUCAUCAUAAGAAUGUUCCCUCUACAUGUUGAGAAAGCUUCAUUAAGUCCCAUUAGGAACUGUACUAGCUUCAUAUCUUCAUUCAUCUUAUGAUUAUGUUCCUUAACACCACACUUGCAUUCACAGCUACACACCAUAAAUGUAUUGAGCACUUUGAGUUGAUCCCACAGUUUCUUCAGUUUAUUGAAAUAACUUGCAACAUCAAUUGUUCCUUGGGUGAUAUUAUUGAGAUCUCUUUGUAAUUGAAAAAGUUUUGAACCAUCAAGCUAACCAUGCCUCUCUUGGAGAUCAUUCCAUAUAUCUGAAGUUGUUUGUGAAUAAAUCACACUCUCUGCAAUAUCCUUGCUUAGAGAGUUCAAAAGCCAAGCAAUGAUCAUGUCAUUGCACCUUCUCCACUGCUCAAACGGAGAUGAGGUUUCAUCUAGUACUUGUGCCUUUUCAUUGAUAAAGCGUAACUUGGUUUUGGCUAAGAGAGAAAUCAGAACUCCUCUCUUCCAAUUUCCAAAACUGGCUCCAUCAAAAUUAACAUUUAUCAAAUUCAUUCCAGGUGAAUCUGAGGCAUUCAAGUAGUAAGGAUGAGAUGGUGGAAGGAGAUUUGCUUGUCGUUUCUCAGUAGAAGCACUGGAAACAUUACUAGGAGUCGAUUGUGGUGCCAUUUUUUAGAGUUGGUUGAGAUGUGAUUUGAGUUUAUAAGAUUAAGAAAAAAUGAAGGAAGAUUGAAAGAGAAUUUCCCUAAAUUGCUCUGAUACCAUGAAGGAUUUCAAAGAAUCCGAUAAUGAAAAACUCAUAUGGGAAAUUUUCUCUUGUAUUUAUGUAUGAACAAUGUAUACAAAGCUAUGACUAUUUAUACAGUUAUGGUAAGGACUGAAAAUAAUAUCUAUAACUAAUCAGGGACUAAAUACUAGUAUCUAAAAAUAUGUAACAACCUAAAAAACAAAUUUGUACAACUCAUGAAAUUCUAGAAGCAUGUAAAAGAAUCUUGUGCAGAGUACCAUUUAUAUUGUGUGGUCUUGCGUAUACUCCUUGUGCUGAGGAUAGGUGUAUUUGGGCUGUGUUGGAAAUAUUUUGUCUGAUUGAAUUCGAACCCAACUUAUCAGAAAUAGGCCCAAACAAACUCUGAGGCCCAAAACCAUUUUUAUUCCUUAAGGGCAGACCUCGGUCAUUACGAAAUUUAUCUGAUGCGUUUGUGUCGGUAAAGUCAACGAACUCAUCUUCUUCCAAGACAUCAAAUUGUUCUUCUUCCUUGAGAGCUAACGUAGAAAUUAGGGUUCAAUCUGGCUCACUGCCUGCAAAAGUUUUUGAAAACUUCAGAGCAAUAACUAGAUUAGAUGGUGCAGAUGAAGGAAAGAUCAAAUAAAUGAGUACAAUUUUAGGAGAUUCUCUUAUAUAUGAGGAUUCUGUUAGGUUGGUGAUCAAAAGCCAGGAUAUUGAGCUUGAAAAGAUCACCACAAUUUUGACAACCAUAGAUCUCUCAAGCAACGAUUUUGAAGGUGUGAUUCUGAAAGCACUAAAAGAUGUUGGCUCACUUUGGAUACUCAAUUUAUCCCAUAAUAAUCUCAGAGGUGAUAUUCCCAUGGAAAUGGGGCAACUGAAUAUGCUUGAAUUGUUAGAUCUCUAUUGGAAUCAGCUCACAGGAAAGAGUCCACAGGAACUGACAAAACUAAAGUUCCUGGCAAGCUUAAACCUCUCUCAAAAUCUUCUUGUUGGACACAGUCCUCGAGAUUCACAAUUCAACACAUUUGAAAAUAACUCGUAUGGUGGAAACUUUGAUUUAUGUGGUCCUCCUUUAUCAAAGCAUUGUGGAACGAGUGAUCCGUCGCAUGUUCCUCAUCCAUUGGAGUCCGAAGAAGAAGAUGAGUCAUAUUUUGCGAGUGGAUUUACCUAGGAAUCAGAAGUAAUAGGCUACAGUUGUGGACUAGUCAUUGGAACUGUUGUGUGAAGCGUCAUGUUUAAAGCUCGUAAAACAAAAUGGUUAGUGAUAUUUCUUGAAGGCAUUUUUCCCAAGAAAAUGAGAAGGCCAAAGAAGAGAGCUCAAAGACAAUGGACAUAAUGGAAGAUUGAGAGGUUCAAUUUGUCCUUGUAUAGUAAGUAAUGUUGGAAUUAUCCCACGAAUGUGUUUUUGUUUGUUUGUCUAAGUGAACUUUCCCGUUUCUAUUUUUCUCUUUUUAAUUUUCUGUUUGUUGUUUGUAUAUGUCUGAUAUCAACUUAAUUGUAUGUUUUACUUUAGCAUUAAUGGUUAUUCAGUUAAGUUUCUAUC
Molecule: long non-coding RNA, 6113 nt
Organism: Lycium ferocissimum
Lineage: Eukaryota; Viridiplantae; Streptophyta; Magnoliopsida; Solanales; Solanaceae
Exons: 3
Source: RefSeq, a predicted model, not a curated record